This 498-nucleotide ribosomal RNA is filed under the name uncultured bacterium. Its description in RNAcentral is "partial 16S ribosomal RNA". It matches the Rfam family "Bacterial small subunit ribosomal RNA", at positions 28 to 523 of the family's 1533-position model. The record is from RNAcentral.
GAUGAGCGCUAGCGGCAGGCCUAAUACAUGCAAGUCGGACGGGAUUGAGGAGCUUGCUUCUCAUGAGAGUGGCGCACGGGUGCGUAACACGUAUGUAACCUACCUUAGUCAGGGGGAUAGCCUCUCGAAAGAGAGAUUAACACCGCAUAACAUUAUGAUAUGGCAUCAUAUUAUAAUCAAAUAUUUAUAGGACUAAGAUGGGCAUGCGGAACAUUAGCUAGUUGGUAAGGUAACGGCUUACCAAGGCUACGAUGUUUAGGGGAUCUGAGAGGAUGACCCCCCACACUGGUACUGAGACACGGACCAGACUCCUACGGGAGGCAGCAGUAAGGAAUAUUGGUCAAUGGACGCAAGUCUGAACCAGCCGUGCCGCGUGCAGGAAGACGGCCCUACGGGUUGUAAACUGCUUUUGUACCGGAAUAAACCUUUGUAUGUAUACGAAGCUGAAUGUACGGUAAGAAUAAGGAUCGGCUAACUCCGUGCCAGCCGCCGCGGUAA